This 21-nucleotide non-coding RNA is filed under the name Mus musculus (house mouse). The record is from RNAcentral. Lineage: Eukaryota; Metazoa; Chordata; Mammalia; Rodentia; Muridae.
CUUUGGUCGCUCGCUCCUCUC